CGUCGUGAGACAGUUCGGUCCCUAUCCUUUGUGGGCGUAGGAGAUUUGAGGGAAGCUGCCCCUAGUACGAGAGGACCGGGGUGGACGAACCUAUGGUGUUCCGGUUGUCACGCCAGUGGCAUAGCCGGGUAGCUAUGUUCGGCAGGGAUAAGCGCUGAAAGCAUCUAAGCACGAAGCCCAUCCCAAGAUAAGAUCUCCCUGGACUUAGUCCCUGUAGGGCCCUGGAAGAUAACCAGGUUGAUAGGCCGGAAGUGUAAGCGCAGCGAUGUGUUGAGCUUACCGGUACUAAUAGCCCGUGAGGCUUGGCCUU
This 310-nucleotide ribosomal RNA is filed under the name Candidatus Hydrogenedentota bacterium. Its description in RNAcentral is "bacterial LSU rRNA". It matches the Rfam family "Bacterial large subunit ribosomal RNA", at positions 2617 to 2925 of the family's 2925-position model. The record is from RNAcentral. Lineage: Bacteria; Pseudomonadati; Candidatus Hydrogenedentota.